UAGUUGGUAGGGUAAUAGCCUACCAAGGCGACGAUGGUUAGCUGGUCUGAGAGGAUGAUCAGCCACACUGGAACUGAGACACGGUCCAGACUCCUACGGGAGGCAGCAGUGAGGAAUCUUGCGCAAUGGGGGCAACCCUGACGCAGCAACGCCGCGUGAGUGAGGAAGGUUUUCGGAUCGUAAAGCUCUGUCGGAUGGAAAGAACCACAUAGGGGUAAAUAGCUCCUAUGUCUGACGGUACCAUCAAAGGAAGCACCGGCUAACUCCGUGCCAGCAGCCGCGGUAAUACGGGGGGUGCAAGCGUUGUUCGGAAUUAUUGGGCGUAAAGAGCGUGUAGGCGGCCUGAUGUGUCAGAUGUGAAAGCCCUGGGCUUAACCCAGGAAGUGCAUUUGAAACUGUCAGGCUUGAGUAGGGGAGAGGGAAGUGGAAUUCCUGGUGUAGAGGUGAAAUUCGUAGAUAUCAGGAGGAACACCGGUGGCGAAGGCGACUUCCUGGCCCUAUACUGACGCUGAGACGCGAGAGCGUGGGUAGCAAACAGGAUUAGAUACCCUGGUAGUCCACGCCGUAAACGAUGUUCACUAGGUGUUGGGGGUAUUGACCCCCUCAGUGCCGGAGCUAACGCAUUAAGUGAACCGCCUGGGGAGUACGGUCGCAAGACUAAAACUCAAAUGAAUUGACGG
This 680-nucleotide ribosomal RNA is filed under the name uncultured delta proteobacterium. Its description in RNAcentral is "bacterial SSU rRNA". It matches the Rfam family "Bacterial small subunit ribosomal RNA", at positions 246 to 916 of the family's 1533-position model. The record is from RNAcentral. Lineage: Bacteria; Deltaproteobacteria.